Molecule: ribosomal RNA, 432 nt
Filed under: uncultured bacterium
Lineage: Bacteria
Description: bacterial SSU rRNA
Rfam family: Bacterial small subunit ribosomal RNA
Source: RNAcentral
CCUACGGGGGGCUGCAGUAGGGAAUCUUCCACAAUGGACGCAAGUCUGAUGGAGCAACGCCGCGUGAGUGAAGAAGGUUUUCGGAUCGUAAAGCUCUGUUGUUGGUGAAGAAGGAUAGAGGCAGUAACUGGUUUCUAUUUGACGGUAAUCAACCAGAAAGUCACGGCUAACUACGUGCCAGCAGCCGCGGUAAUACGUAGGUGGCAAGCGUUGUCCGGAUUUAUUGGGCGUAAAGCGAGCGCAGGCGGAAUGAUAAGUCUGAUGUGAAAGCCCACGGCUCAACCGUGGAACUGCAUCGGAAACUGUCAUUCUUGAGUGCAGAAGAGGAGAGUGGAACUCCAUGUGUAGCGGUGGAAUGCGUAGAUAUAUGGAAGAACACCAGUGGCGAAGGCGGCUCUCUGGUCUGCAACUGACGCUGAGGCUCGAAAGCAU